AUGAGGAGUCCGGAACGCGUCUGUAGGAUAUCGCUUUAACAUGUGGACAUUUGCGGGCCGAAGUGCGGUUUUUCCCCCUGCUAUACGAAGGACGGGAAUCUGGCAUUUUUCUCCACCAAGGUUCAUCGUGUUACCGUUCUUUAUACUUUCUUCGAGACACACACUCGCAUCCGCUGUAAAUCAUCAAACGUCCAAGUGGUUCCAUGGGUGUACUUACCGACAAAGACCCCCGUUCAGCUGAGGUAUUUCGGUGGGGGAAAUUGAGCCGUUUUACGGGCAGCAAACGAGGCCGACAGAAAACACCAACAGCAACAACAACAGUGGCGGCGGCAACGACAACGACAACGAUACGACAGGGACAGGGACAGCGUCAGCGACAGCAACAACAACAACAGCGGAUAGCAACAGAAGCAGCAUUCAACAGAACCGCAAAGCAGUAACAUCACCAGCAGCGACAGCACCAGCAGAUGGCGUUGAAGUUUAAAUCAGAGAUCCGUGGUACAAUGAAUUUUGAAACCCCAGAAUACGUUUCUCUGGUUUUUUUUUCGAAAACAAUAACAUAACUAAAUCACUAAACUGGAAUUGAUCGUAUUCUCUCGGCUUUUAUAAAGCGACUAUUGAAUAUGAAGAAAAAGGCGAAUCUUCCGUGUUGAUGUAAGGUUCA
Asterias rubens (European starfish) is the source of this 664-nucleotide long non-coding RNA. RefSeq lists it as uncharacterized. The record is from RefSeq and is a predicted model, not a curated record. The transcript has 3 exons. NCBI's taxonomy places the organism in Eukaryota, Metazoa, Echinodermata, Asteroidea, Forcipulatida, Asteriidae.